This 34-nucleotide ribosomal RNA is filed under the name uncultured Russula. RNAcentral's name for it is "partial 18S ribosomal RNA". Lineage: Eukaryota; Fungi; Basidiomycota; Agaricomycetes; Russulales; Russulaceae. The record is from RNAcentral.
CUUCUCUGUAGGAGAACGUGGAGAGGGCUCAUUA